CGCAGGCGAGAGACCAGGAAAUUUUCUUGGAACACUUCAUUUUUCAAUCAUGCCUCUCCACCCAGAACUGCCAAACUGUUUCCCACCAGCCAUGUAUGAGAUCUCCAAUUUUGCUACAUCCUCAUCAACACUUAUUGCUCAUUGCUAAUGCACAGAAAUGCAAUUGAUU
Molecule: long non-coding RNA, 169 nt
Organism: Suricata suricatta (meerkat)
Lineage: Eukaryota; Metazoa; Chordata; Mammalia; Carnivora; Herpestidae
Exons: 4
Source: RefSeq, a predicted model, not a curated record